CAAAUUUGAAAUCUGGUACUUUCAGUGCCCGAGUUGUAAUUUGUAGAAUUUGUCUUUGAUUAGGUCCUUGUCUAUGUUCCUUGGAACAGGACGUCAUAGAGGGUGAGAAUCCCGUUUGGCGAGGAUACCUUUUCUCUGUAAGACUUUUUCGAAGAGUCGAGUUGUUUGGGAAUGCAGCUCAAAGUGGGUGGUAAAUUCCAUCUAAAGCUAAAUAUUGGCGAGAGACCGAUAGCGAACAAGUACAGUGAUGGAAAGAUGAAAAGAACUUUGAAAAGAGAGUGAAAAAGUACGUGAAAUUGUUGAAAGGGAAGGGCAUUUGAUCAGACAUGGUGUUUUUUGCAUGCACUCGCCUCUCGUGGGCUUGGGCCUCUCAAAAAUUUCACUGGGCCAACAUCAAUUCUGGCAGCAGGAUAAAUCAUUAAGAAUGUAGCUACUUCGGUAGUGUUAUAGCUUUUUGGAAUACUGUUAGCCGGGAUUGAGGACUGCGCUUCGGCAAGGAUGUUGGCAUAAUGGUUAAAUGCCGCCCGUCUUGAAA
Molecule: ribosomal RNA, 535 nt
Filed under: Hanseniaspora uvarum
Lineage: Eukaryota; Fungi; Ascomycota; Saccharomycetes; Saccharomycodales; Saccharomycodaceae
Description: partial large subunit ribosomal RNA
Rfam family: Eukaryotic large subunit ribosomal RNA
Source: RNAcentral